Molecule: ribosomal RNA, 402 nt
Filed under: uncultured bacterium
Lineage: Bacteria
Description: bacterial SSU rRNA
Rfam family: Bacterial small subunit ribosomal RNA
Source: RNAcentral
GGAAUCUUGCGCAAUGGGCGAAAGCUUGACGCAGCGACACCGCGUGGGGGAAGAAGGCUUUCGGGUUGUAAACCCCUUUUCUCGGGGAAGAGUAAGGACGGUACCCGAGGAAUAAGCCUCGGCUAACUACGUGCCAGCAGCCGCGGUAAUACGUAGGAGGCGAGCGUUGUCCGGAUUUACUGGGCGUAAAGGGCGAGUAGGCGGCUCGUUAAGUCUCAUGUGAAAUCUCUCGGCUCAACUGAGAGGGGUCGUGGGAAACUGGCGGGCUUGAGGGCAGCAGAGGAAAGCGGAAUUCCCGGAGUAGCGGUGAUAUGCGUAGAUACCGGGAGGAACACCCGAGGCGAAGGCGGCUUUCUGGGCUGUACCUGACGCUGAGGCGCGAAAGCAUGGGGAGCGAACCGG